AUUGAACGCUGGCGGCAUGCCUUACACAUGCAAGUCGAACGGUAACGGGUUAAGCUGACGAGUGGCGAACGGGUGAGUAAUAUAUCGGAACGUGCCCAAUCGUGGGGGAUAACGCAGCGAAAGUUGUGCUAAUACCGCAUAAGAUCUACGGAUGAAAGCGGGGGAUCGCAAGACCUCGCGCGAGUGGAGCGGCCGAUAUCAGAUUAGCUAGUUGGUGGGGUAAAGGCCCACCAAGGCGACGAUCUGUAGCUGGUCUGAGAGGACGACCAGCCACACUGAGACUGAGACACGGCCCAGACUCCUACGGGAGGCAGCAGUGGGGAAUUUUGGACGAUGGGCGCAAGCCUGAUCCAGCAAUGCCGCGUGCAGGAUGAAGGCCUUCGGGUUGUAAACUGCUUUUGUACGGAGCGAAAAAGCUCUCUCUAAUACAGGGGGCUCAUGACGGCACCGUAAGAAUAAGCACCGGCUAACUACGUGCCAGCCGCCGCUGUAA
RNAcentral lists this ribosomal RNA (493 nucleotides) under uncultured bacterium. Its description in RNAcentral is "partial 16S ribosomal RNA". It matches the Rfam family "Bacterial small subunit ribosomal RNA", at positions 30 to 523 of the family's 1533-position model. The record is from RNAcentral.